AUUAAAAUAGUUUAAAAAAAAUAUUGAUUUGUGGAGUCAAAGAUUUAUUGUUAUUUUAAUU
RNAcentral lists this transfer RNA (61 nucleotides) under Psyllidae sp. EMHAU-2015-Zz060501. Its description in RNAcentral is "tRNA-His". The record is from RNAcentral. Lineage: Eukaryota; Metazoa; Arthropoda; Insecta; Hemiptera; Psyllidae.